AGCAGCAGCCGCGGGAACACGUAGGGUGCAAGCGUUAAUCGGAACUACUGGGCGUAAAGCGUGCGCAGGCGGUUUGUUAAGACAGAUGUGAAAUCCCCGGGCUCAACCUGGGGACUGCAUUUGUGACUGGCAAGCUAGAGUAUGGCAGAGGGGGGUGGAAUUCCGCGUGUAGCAGUGAAAUGCGUAGAUACGCGGAGGAACACCGAUGGCGAAGGCAGCCCCCUGGGCCAAUACUGACGCUCAUGCACGAAAGCGUGGGGGGCAAACAGGAUUAGAUACCCCUGUAGUCCCUGUCUCUUAUAC
RNAcentral lists this ribosomal RNA (303 nucleotides) under uncultured bacterium. Its description in RNAcentral is "partial 16S ribosomal RNA". It matches the Rfam family "Bacterial small subunit ribosomal RNA", at positions 507 to 807 of the family's 1533-position model. The record is from RNAcentral.